Long non-coding RNA from Oenanthe melanoleuca, 948 nucleotides. RefSeq lists it as uncharacterized. The transcript is spliced from 3 exons. The record is from RefSeq and is a predicted model, not a curated record. NCBI's taxonomy places the organism in Eukaryota, Metazoa, Chordata, Aves, Passeriformes, Muscicapidae.
AGACCAGAUGCUGCUGUCCUCGACCCCGUUUUGGGGCUGGAACAGGGAAUUCCUGCAGCGCCACUGAGGCAGAGAGGACACUAUGGUGCAGGAGUUCCUCUCCAGGCUCUCCAACAAGGACCUGCUGACCACAGCACUGAAUGCACCCCCCCUCAACCUCUUUGCUGCCCUGUGAGUCCUUCAUUAGGGCCUUAAUGAAGCCCUGCCUUAAUUACAGCCCUAACACCCUCCCAUUCAAAUAGGGGUCCUAAUGAUGCCCCCAGUAAUUAAGUGGGGCCCUAAUGAGGCCCCUGUAAUGAACUGGGGGGGGCUCUAAUGGAGUGGGGGGUUCUCAGGAUAUUCCUGCUAAUGAAUUAGGGAGCUUUAAUUAAGCAGGGAGCUGUCAUGAUACCCCAUUAUUAAAGUAGGGAGGCCUAAUGAAGUUCCCACUAACGAAGCAGGGAGCCCUAAUGAAGUUCCCAAUAAUGAACCCUGACCCUAAUGCUGCACCCCAAUCAAGUAGGGGCUCUAAUCAAGCCAUUAAUGAGACCUCUGCUAAUGAACUGGGGGCUCUAAUGAAGUGGGGAAACCUAAGAUGCCCCUGGGCCUUAAUUAACCCCAAAGGUGAUUUCAUCCCAAGUUUAGACCUUUUUUUUUGCUUUUGGCCCCAAAUUGGCUGUUUUGGUUUUUAAAUCCCCAAAAUGCAAAGGGGGGGGGAGGGAGUUGCCCCAAAAAUCCUGGAGGAGGGGGCUGAGCCCCCCAAAAACUGCAGGGGGAUUGUCUUGACCCUGCAGAUUUGGGGUGACACCCCUGGAAUUGGGGCUGUGCCACCCUCAGUGCCCUUCCUUUGGUUUUUGCACCACCACUUUUGGGGUUUUUGAACCCAGCCCCCAUUUUUGCUCCCCAGUGUCUCUUUCCUGCCGUCCCAGCCGUGGUUUGGGGUGAUAUCUGCUCAGCUUUUUUACCAUU